RNAcentral lists this unclassified non-coding RNA (322 nucleotides) under soil metagenome. RNAcentral describes it as "partial contains 5.8S ribosomal RNA, internal transcribed spacer 2, and large subunit ribosomal RNA". The stretch from base 1 to 120 matches the Rfam family "5.8S ribosomal RNA", at positions 35 to 154 of the family's 154-position model. The record is from RNAcentral.
GAUGAAGAACGCAGCGAAAUGCGAUAAGUAAUGCGAAUUGCAGAAUUCAGUGAGUCAUCGAAUCUUUGAACGCACAUUGCGCCCUGUGGUAUUCCGCAGGGCAUGCCUGUUCGAGCGUCAUUUCAACCCUCAAGCUCUGCUUGGUGUUGGGCCCUGCCCGCUGCGGCCGGCCCUAAAGACAGUGGCGGUGCCGCCUGGCCCUGAGCGUAGUACAUCUCUCGCUCCAGUGCCCGGUGGUAGCCUGCCAGAACCCCAACUCUCGUGGUUGACCUCGGAUCAGGUAGGGAUACCCGCUGAACUUAAGCAUAUCAAUAAGCGGAGA